CAAUGGGSGCAACCCUGAUCCAGCRAUGCCGCGUGAGUGAUGAAGGCCUUCGGGUUGUAAAGCUCUUUUAUYGGGGACGAUGAUGACGGUMCCCGAUG
This 98-nucleotide ribosomal RNA is filed under the name uncultured bacterium. Its description in RNAcentral is "partial 16S ribosomal RNA". It matches the Rfam family "Bacterial small subunit ribosomal RNA", at positions 369 to 484 of the family's 1533-position model. The record is from RNAcentral.